RNAcentral lists this long non-coding RNA (2401 nucleotides) under Equus caballus (horse). RNAcentral's name for it is "lncRNA (ENSECAG00000057619.1)". Lineage: Eukaryota; Metazoa; Chordata; Mammalia; Perissodactyla; Equidae. The record is from RNAcentral.
AAAGAGACUUCAGCAAUGAGGAAGUCCAGCUCCCAGUUGUUUGAAAUUGGAAACUGAGCUCCAGAGAGAUUAAGAUAAAGUGUCCAUUUUUACACAGGAAGUUAUCAAAAGAGCCACGGUCAAAUCUGGGUCUUCUGAUACUUAAAGCUGUGCUCUUCCUAAUACUAAAUGCUGCCUCCUUUGAGGCAUUUAAAUCUCUGUAAUCUAGAUCCAUUUCUAUGCCAACAUCGGUAAAUCACAAAUGAUUAGAAAAAAGGUGGCAGACUCAAACACCAACUCAUGCUUUUUAAUUUGAGUGGUUUUCUAGGUUCAUCUGAAAUAAAACAAAACAAUAUUUUUUAAAACUCCUUCCUGUUUACAAAAUUGAGAAUUCCUUCUUGACACUGGUGUUCAUGUUCUAUGUACUUUCCAAAUACGGAGAUCCUAAAAUACGGGCUGGCUGAACUUUUAAAUAUAAAGAAAGUCUUGCAGUUGAGAAUACUCUCCAACCAAAUGAGUUCAGUCUGCUUUCUGCUUCUGAGAUCUGGGUCUAAGGGGAUUAUUUUCAAAGAUGAGCAGGAGACUAAAGAGAAAGACAGGCUUCCUGUUACCUACCUUGAGUUUGAGAGUCUUGAAAACCUUGUGUGUAGCAUUGCAAAGCUGCCCUGGAACAUGAAAAAUACAGCCUCUUCUCACCAGUGCUGAAGGAGGCUUCUUCCGACUCCAGCUUGAAUGUUUCUCAAGACGGUCAGUUAAGUGAAACCAUCUUUUCCAAAAGCUUGAGUAAACCUGAGAACCUCCCCACCAAUGAAUUAGGUAGGAGGAAAGCGGGCCCCAGUGGCGAGUAUCAUGAAAAGAUUCAGUUCUCAGACUUGGCUGCUUAUUGGAAUUAUUUGAAGAGCUUUAAAAGUACUAGCUGCCCAUAAAGGUUGCAGAUAUUCAGUGCUAUUAUAGGAAUUUUCAUGAAUACGUUUGAAAAUCCUGAUCUAUGGAUUGAAUUCCUGUUUUGAUUAAUUGAUUUGUAAACCUCUGUCCCUUUUGUGACUCUGUUCUGCCUUUUGGGAUUGGAGUUUCAUUGUUUACCCAGAUGCACAGAUACUUCCUGGUGAGUUAGAAUGCAUUUCCUCUACUAUAACAUUUCUCAACCCUGCACAUUGAGAAUCAUUUGGGGAGAUUAAGAUGAAAAAAAAAAAAAAAAAACUGGUGGGAAUUGGUCAGGGGUUGAACCAGGGCUUAAGCAUUUUUGUAAACCUCCCCAUAGUAGCCAGCCUCCAAGAUGGCCCCCACUGGACCCACCUGUUUGUACUUGCAUCUUCAUUUAGCACUCCCACUCCCACAUGGUGCCAAGGCUGUUCUACAUGACCAAUAAAAUAGUGCAGACGUGAUGAUAUGAUUAGGUUAUAAAAGACACUGCAGUUUCCAUCUUAAUGUUCUACCUCCCUCUCAGAUCAUUUGCUUUGGAAAAGCCAACUGCCAAGUCAUAAGCAGCCCUGUGGCGAACCCUACAUGGUGUGGAACUGAGACCUUGUGCCAACAGCCAGAUCUACUGCUCUCUACCCUUCUCCAUCCUGCCCCAUGCCUUAGACGGCUGAUGACAUCAUGGACUCUCAUGCCCUCUGACUUUCAGCUGGCUGUAUGCAAAGGGAGACACUGGCAGGAGAUCAGAAGUUUCUGUGGGUCAGAAGUCUGGGCACAGCUUCCCUGGGUGUUUCUGACUCAAGGUCUCUCACGAAAGGCAGUCAAGCUGAUGACCUGAGCUGCAACCUCAUCUGGAUGCCCGUCUGGGGAGACACCAUCUGUUUUGAAGCUCACUCACAUGGUUGUCGGCAGGCCUUGGUCACUCACCAUGUGGGCCACUCCACAGGGCUGCCUCACAACACGGCAGCUGCCUUCCCCCACGACAAGUGACCCAAGAGACUGUGAGAGAGGACACAUUCAAGGUGAAAGGCAGUCAUUUUAUAACCUAAUCUCAGAUGUGUCAUUUCAUCACUUCUGCCAUAUUCUAUUCAUCAAAAGUGAGACAAGAAGUCCAGCCACACUCAAGGAGAGGGGAUUACCCAAGAGCGGGAACCACAGAAGGUGAGGAUCAUUGGGGCCCAUCUCCAAGGCUGCCUGAUGCAUAUGUCCCCGGGCUUUCAUAUAAACUCUACCUUUUAGUCAGUAUCUAACGUAUGUCAAGCUCUGCACCUGCAUUGUAUACGCGACCUCUAAUCCUUACAAUGACCUACAUAGCAGAAUUACUAUCUCUAAUUUGUAGAAAAGGAAAAUGAGGAUAUGAGAGUUUAAGUAAUUUUCCAAUGAUCAUAUAAUUUAUAAAUAAAAGAGACAAAAUUUGAAAUAACCUCUUCUGAUCCCUAGUCCAGUGGCUCUUUCAACCAUGUCUCCACUACUUUAGGUGACUAUGUUACUGACUGCAUUAUCU